UCGUGAGACAGGUUAGUUUUACCCUACUGAUGAAUGUUACCGCAAUAGUAAUUGAACUUAGUACGAGAGGAACAGUUCAUUCGGAUAAUUGGUUUUUGCGGCUGUCUGAUCAGGCAAUGCCGCGAAGCUACCAUCCGCUGGAUUAUGGCUGAACGCCUCUAAGUCAGAAUCCAUGCUAGAACGCGGUGAUUCUUUGCCCUGCACAACGUAGAUGGAUACGAAUAAGGCGUCCUUUUGGGCGUCGCUGAACCAUAGCAGGCUGGCGACGGUGCGCUUGGCGGAAAGGCCUUGCGUGCUUGCCGGCGGAUAGCAAUGUCAUUUUGCGCGGGGAUAAAUCAUUUGUAUACGACUUAGAUGUACAACGGGGUAUUGUAAGCAG
This 379-nucleotide ribosomal RNA is filed under the name Nakaseomyces glabratus. Its description in RNAcentral is "eukaryotic LSU rRNA". It matches the Rfam family "Eukaryotic large subunit ribosomal RNA", at positions 2971 to 3344 of the family's 3401-position model. Lineage: Eukaryota; Fungi; Ascomycota; Saccharomycetes; Saccharomycetales; Saccharomycetaceae. The record is from RNAcentral.